UGCGUAGGUGGCGCUGCAAGUCAGAUGUGAAAUCCCCGGGCUUAACUCGGGGGGUGCAUUUGAAACUGCGGUGCUUGAGUGCAGGAGAGGAAAGCGGAAUUCCUAGUGUAGCGGUGAAAUGCGUAGAUAUUAGGAAGAACACCAGUGGCGAAGGCGGCUUUCUGGACUGUAACUGACGCUGAUGCACGAAAGCGUGGGGAGCAAACAG
Molecule: ribosomal RNA, 208 nt
Filed under: uncultured Eubacteriales bacterium
Lineage: Bacteria; Bacillati; Bacillota; Clostridia; Eubacteriales
Description: uncultured Clostridiales bacterium partial 16S ribosomal RNA
Rfam family: Bacterial small subunit ribosomal RNA
Source: RNAcentral